UCCAUAGUUUGCUUUUUGUUUCUUGUCUCUUGCACGACAUCCGACUUUCUUGCCACUCUCAGUUUCGCUCCUCUUCCUUCUCGUAUCUUCUCAUUUGAAAUCCUGUUUGGAGCACUUCCUUCCAAAGCCGAUUAAAAUAUACCCACAAGAUAUUUAUAAAGCCUGGUAUUAUUCUAUUUUAUUUUUUUAUUCAUUUCAGAUUUACUACAUAUUUAAAAAUUAUAUUGUCUUCUUCGUUGGCCCCGCGUCACCUCCAUUUUGUUUCCACUUUUCGCCUUCCUUCUGAUUUAUUACCCCUACGAUCCCCUACUCAACCCCCACCAUUAGGUGGAGAAAAAUUGACUUUACACGGUUAUGCCCUUUUCAGAGGUGCAUGUAUCGGAGCAUGGGCGCGAAAACCCCCGCCAAAGAUCAUUUCGUGCCUGGAUUCUCAAAUGAUGCUUUUGCCGCAUUAAUAAUCUGUCUUAGUCACGACAACCUCAUCGCUGUCGCUAGCAUCGCGGCGCUAAGCGAUGUCAAGAAAGCAUUGGUUGAAUAUGAUGUCAAUGGCACAAUCGUCCUUCUGGGCAUUCCUGCAGAAAGAAUGAGUGUUGAAUAAGAUGAAGCUACUCGACGGAGGAGUUUUUGAGAGUAUAGGACAACGCUAUGAUUCAAUCACUUAAAGCCGUCAAACUCGAACAGCGGUCUUGAUGUCCGCAUGAUGAUUUAUCCAGAACAUGCAUAGGCUGGAGAAGGAGAAGUCAUCCCAGGUCUAGUUAUCCAAUGUGUUUUGGUAAUCUAAUGUGUUGUUGAGAGAUCGAGUAUUUUCGGGAAAUCAAAAAUCAGUCAUGCUGUUAACCGGUAAACG
RNAcentral lists this small RNA (847 nucleotides) under Cryptococcus neoformans H99. RNAcentral describes it as "Cryptococcus neoformans var. grubii H99 hypothetical RNA". The record is from RNAcentral. Lineage: Eukaryota; Fungi; Basidiomycota; Tremellomycetes; Tremellales; Cryptococcaceae.